This 3199-nucleotide long non-coding RNA is filed under the name Sus scrofa (pig). RNAcentral describes it as "lncRNA (ENSSSCG00030016181.1)". Lineage: Eukaryota; Metazoa; Chordata; Mammalia; Artiodactyla; Suidae. The record is from RNAcentral.
UUUUUUUUUUUUGAAUCCAGGUUUUUGUAAAGGCAACAGAAAAACUGAGAAAGACAAGUGAUAACUAUGGGCUGAGAAUUAUAGUGAAGAGUUAAAUCUGAUUUGAGUCUACAACAAGCUACAGGUAACAUGUAUAUGGCAAGGGUAAAAUACUAUUCUCUGUGGAAAUUAUGGAAACUUUUAAAGAAACAUACCCAGUAGAAAUAUUUCUCAUCAGGAAUAAUAUCAACAAUAUACUUUUAUCUUUGAUCAUGGAUCAUUUCUCUUAUGAUCAGCCCCCACUGAUCCACAGUUGAAGGUCAUGUCCUUUUAUCAAGGCCUUUACCAUUAAUUGCAGAUUAUCCUGCAAUUCUUUGCUUCUAAGUUUGCAGUUUACCAUGAAUUGCAGAUUAUUUUACAAUUCUUUGUUUUCAAGUUUGCACCAGUUUGAAAAUAGAGUCUUAGCUAACGUCUAAAGGGAUUUUCUUUCCUUCAACAUGCUUUAGAAAUUGCUGAUGAUUUGUUGUUCUUUACUCCAGAACUCUCCAUUUGGGUGGCCCUGUGGCUCUGUGUCUCUCUGUAUGCUCUUUGCUGGGAGCCCGUUUAGCUCUGGAAAUGCUAGCUGUAGCCUCUAUAAACUGCUGUUUCUCCAAUCUGCCUGCUCUCUUCUACUCAGCUGCCUCACAGCCCUAUGGUAAUGGGAAAGAUUUUCGCAGUUCCUGGCUAUUUUCAAGAAAAGAGGAGUAAUUUGCAGAUUAGUCUGUGAUAAAAAAAAUAGUCUGCCUCACUGCAGAUACUCUGUGCUAAGGUUUUAAAGGUUGUGGUUAGAGACCUAUGGGUCCUGAAACCUGCAAAGAAUAUGAAUCCCUGCUUGAAAAAUUUUUAAUGAGUGAUAACUGGGUUUUGACAUAUGACACACUUCUUAUUUUAGAUCAUGAUGAAAACAUCUUUGAAAUUACUCUUUUAUUUAUUUAAUGUAUAAGUUACUUUAACGUAUAAACUAUUUAAGUAUCCAACUACUGGCAGAUAUUUGAGCUUUUACUCUUUAGAUUUUCAUGCUCACUGUUGUGGGUAUCUAUGUUGAAGUGAACCAUUGAAACAACUGGAUAAGAAUUGUGAAUGAAAGGAGUUCCUGUCGUGGUGCAGUGGUUAAUGAACCCAACUAGUAUCCAUGAGGAUGCGGGUUCCAUUCCUGGCCUUUCUCAGUGGGUUGGGGAUCUGGUGUUGCUGUGAGCUGUGGAAUAGGUCACAGACACGGCUCAGAUCCUGUGUUGCUGUGGCUGUGGUGUAGGCUGGCAGCUGGAGCUCCAAUUCAACCCCUAGCCUGGGAACCUUCAUAUGCCUCGGGUGUGGCCCUAAAAAGACAAAAAAAAAAAAAAAAAAAAAAAAAAAGAAAAGAAAGAAAGAAAGAAAAAAACCUCUGAUUUCAACUUGUUUAAUAUGCAAAAGAGUUAAAUAAUCUUUUCUAUAACUUUAGUGUCAACCAUCUAGCCGUCUUCUAGAGGUCAAAACAAAAUAAUCUUAUAGUAAGAGAAUCUGGUUAGAUAUAAAAAUAAAUUUUACAAAAAAUUAAAAAGCGGCAAAUUUUUUCCAAUCCUAGGUAUAUAUAAAUACUCAAGAGAAGUGGAAAUGUAAUAUUAUUUGGCUAUAAAAAGGAAUGACAUAACUGAUUCAUGCUACAAGAAACUUGAAAAAAAUUAUGCUAAGUGAAAGAAGUCAGUCACAAAAAAACAUAUUUCAUUAUUUCAUUUACAUGAAAUGCCCCAAGUAGGCAAAUCUCUUGAGAUAAAAGUAGAUUUGAAAUGGGACAGGUUCCAUUGUUAGGUGAUAAAAAUGAUUGAAAAUUAUGGCGAUACCAUACUACUCUGUAAGUACCAUAAACUAUUGAGUUGUACCCUUUAAUGAGUGAAUUAUCUGAUAUGUGAAUUCUAUUUCAACAAAGUCACAAAAAAUAGUGGCUAAACAUUGGCAAAGGCUACAAAAGCCUCUGAAACCUUAAUAUUUGGGGGGCUGGUCUCUCUCAAUAACAACUUAGAGUUGGAAAAGAGGGAUGAUGACUGAUUCUGGGAUGUUGCCACCGUAACCAUAGGUUUUUCUUAGGUUUUUGUUGAAUUUUGUCCUAUCUGGGUUUUGAAGGUCAUUUCACUCUUGAUCAUACUUGUAGAAUCUGCCUUCUUUAAGGAUUUUUAUUAUCCUCAAUUGGCUCUUUCCACACAGAAGAGAAAUAAUACAUCAAGUAACACAAAAGUAGAUUGGUAAUAUAUACCAUCAACUGCUUACAAAGAUAUACAUCAUAUGGAGACACAUGUCUGCUAUACCCAGAUAAAAAUGAGAUAAGUGCCCUAUUUUUGCUUAUUGCUGUCUUUUCCCAUAUCUAUAAUUAAUGAUCAACAGUCAUGUGUUUAAUAUCCUGAAUACCACUAACUUUCCCACAUAAAUAACCUGUCAGAAAUAUGAAAAACCAAAAACAUGUGUGCAGUUACAGUGCAAUGCAAUUGUUCAAUUCUCUAGCAAUAACAAUUUGAGCAGUAAAGCAGUAUACACUAUGAUAAAGAACCUGAUUUUAGUUUAUGUUUAUCUAAAAUCAGGACUAUAUAAGAUGUAAAACAAAAUGUUCUACUACAAACUGACACAUAGUUUGGUGACACAUAACAAAAAUAUUUAAUUUGGGGAUAUUCUUUUGACAAGUGGGAAAAAACACCCACAAAAAUCACAGCUUUCUCCAACACAUGCAUCACAAAAAAAUUGUCCAUCUUUUGCCACCUAGGCAAUGUGAAGUCUAAUAUAUAACACAACUUGUAAUGGGCUCUUAAAUGUGCUGUACAGAUGGAGGUUUUGAUAAUACCACUGAAAACCAAAAGCAGAAAUAUGGUCUGUCUGGUUUUGAAUUUGUUAUCGUCAUAAAAUGGAAUCUCAUUAUUUUUCACUUCUUUGAUUAUUUUAUCCUCCACUUAUGGAUGAGUUAUACUCCAGACUCUAAAAGUCAAACAAAACAUAAUGAAAAAGCAUGAAAUCUGUUCAUCAUAAAACAUUAUUAGUUAUAGUAAUUUCCGAAUCAGAGAGAGCUGGAUAUUUCACAGCUAAGAACAGUAUCAAGAGGAAAUGCAGAUAGAGGCAACUUAGGGUAAUAGUGAGACUGGGGAGCUGAGAGACCCUAAUUUUACCUGCUUGUGGCACACUCUGAACAAGGCGUCACUCUCUGAGCCUCAUUCUUCCUAUU